This 363-nucleotide transfer-messenger RNA is filed under the name Escherichia coli. Its description in RNAcentral is "Standard tmRNA". It matches the Rfam family "transfer-messenger RNA". From Rfam's summary of the family: Bacterial tmRNA, also known as 10Sa RNA or SsrA, is named for its dual tRNA and mRNA-like properties. Its role is to liberate the mRNA from a stalled ribosome. To accomplish this part of the tmRNA is used as a reading frame that ends in a translation stop signal. Lineage: Bacteria; Pseudomonadati; Pseudomonadota; Gammaproteobacteria; Enterobacterales; Enterobacteriaceae. The record is from RNAcentral.
GGGGCUGAUUCUGGAUUCGACGGGAUUUGCGAAACCCAUGGUGCAUGCCGAGGGGCGGUUGGCCUCGUAAAAAGCCGCAAAAAAUAGUCGCAAACGACGAAAACUACGCUUUAGCAGCUUAAUAACCUGCUUAGAGCCCUCUCUCCCUAGCCUCCGCUCUUAGGACGGGGAUCAAGAGAGGUCAAACCCAAAAGAGAUCGCGUGGAAGCCCUGCCUGGGGUUGAAGCGUUAAAACUUAAUCAGGCUAGUUUGUUAGUGGCGUGUCCGUCCGCAGCUGGCAAGCGAAUGUAAAGACUGACUAAGCAUGUAGUACCGAGGAUGUAGGAAUUUCGGACGCGGGUUCAACUCCCGCCAGCUCCACCA